This is a long non-coding RNA of Xenopus laevis (African clawed frog), 721 nucleotides long. RefSeq lists it as uncharacterized. The record is from RefSeq and is a predicted model, not a curated record. The transcript has 2 exons. NCBI's taxonomy places the organism in Eukaryota, Metazoa, Chordata, Amphibia, Anura, Pipidae.
AAGUGUUUGGGGAGCGGCUGCUUCCAGGAGAAAAGCACAAGGAAUCUCCAAAGGACUGUUCUUGCACGAGAAAUAGCAAUAGAAUUUGUUGGAAGGAUCCUCACCAUGACAUACUGGCCGUAUCAGCUGCAAAGUGCUCUGCAUUAUGGCUUUAUAUGAAUCUAUGGAUCCACCGGGACUUGGCUUAUGAGGAAAUAUGAGGUUUUUAAAGAAGCAUUUCUUGCCUCCACGGCUGAAGACACAUAUUGUUGUUUACAUCAUUCAAUGAACAAUGUGGUAGGGGAACAACAGGCUGAUACUUAUACAGGGUACAUUUACCCAGGUCCAUCUUAUUUGUUAACCAAUUAAAUGUCACCUUUAUCCUGGCCUGUGUAUAUCAGAAUAAUAGAGUUAGCUGUUAUGGGAUGUAAGAUGUAAAGCUAAGGCUGAUGCUUGUAAAACAGACAAACCCUACUGUUCUUUUCUAGAUGAUGAGUUGGGCAGAAAGCUGAGUUACUGUGAGGGAAAUUAUAGCCUAUAAUGAUAAAAAAAAAUGAUAUAUUGUCAUAACUGAAUUGGCGGUUGAGCUGCAGCUGUCAGAAUAAAUCUAAGAGAUGUGUCUGGCCAAGCAUUUAUUUUUCUUAUUUAACAGGAGAAAAAGAAACCGGGUGAUAGUGGAGCCCAACACCUAGGUGAUCUUUUCUGUUGAUACAAUUCACACAUCACAAUAAAAACACUUUAA